UACGUAGGGGGCAAGCGUUGUCCGGAAUUAUUGGGCGUAAAGAGCGUGUAGGCGGUCCGGUAAGUCAGCUGUGAAAGUCAAGGGCUCAACCCUUGAAAGCCGGUUGAUACUGUCGGGCUAGAGUCCGGAAGAGGCGAGUGGAAUUCCCGGUGUAGCGGUGAAAUGCGCAGAUAUCAGGAAGAACACCCGUGGCGAAGGCGGCUCUCUGGGACGGUACUGACGCUGAGACGCGAAAGCGUGGGGAGCGAACAGG
RNAcentral lists this ribosomal RNA (253 nucleotides) under uncultured bacterium. RNAcentral describes it as "partial 16S ribosomal RNA". It matches the Rfam family "Bacterial small subunit ribosomal RNA", at positions 524 to 776 of the family's 1533-position model. The record is from RNAcentral.